RNAcentral lists this ribosomal RNA (687 nucleotides) under Arthrobacter gandavensis. Its description in RNAcentral is "bacterial SSU rRNA". It matches the Rfam family "Bacterial small subunit ribosomal RNA", at positions 57 to 752 of the family's 1533-position model. The record is from RNAcentral. Lineage: Bacteria; Bacillati; Actinomycetota; Actinomycetes; Micrococcales; Micrococcaceae.
GCAAGUCGAACGAUGACUUCUGUGCUUGCACAGAAUGAUUAGUGGCGAACGGGUGAGUAACACGUGAGUAACCUGCCCUUGACUUCGGGAUAAGCCUGGGAAACCGGGUCUAAUACCGGAUACGACCUCCUGGCGCAUGCCAUGGGGGUGGAAAGCUUUAUGCGGUUUUGGAUGGACUCGCGGCCUAUCAGCUUGUUGGUUGGGGUAAUGGCCCACCAAGGCGACGACGGGUAGCCGGCCUGAGAGGGUGACCGGCCACACUGGGACUGAGACACGGCCCAGACUCCUACGGGAGGCAGCAGUGGGGAAUAUUGCACAAUGGGCGGAAGCCUGAUGCAGCGACGCCGCGUGAGGGAUGACGGCCUUCGGGUUGUAAACCUCUUUCAGCAGGGAAGAAGCGAAAGUGACGGUACCUGCAGAAGAAGCGCCGGCUAACUACGUGCCAGCAGCCGCGGUAAUACGUAGGGCGCAAGCGUUAUCCGGAAUUAUUGGGCGUAAAGAGCUCGUAGGCGGUUUGUCGCGUCUGCUGUGAAAGCCCGGGGCUCAACCCCGGGUCUGCAGUGGGUACGGGCAGACUAGAGUGCAGUAGGGGAGACUGGAAUUCCUGGUGUAGCGGUGAAAUGCGCAGAUAUCAGGAGGAACACCGAUGGCGAAGGCAGGUCUCUGGGCUGUAACUGACGCUGAGGA